GGCUAAGGGUCUUGACCAGUGGGGCACUGAAGAAGCGAGCCACACCUCCAUCGUACGCCCUGCGAGGAGGGGUCUCACUCAGUGACCCAGGCUGAAUGCAGUGGAACAAUCAUGGCUUACUGUAGCCUUGACCUUGAGGGCUUAAGCAAUCCUGCCACCUCAGCCUGCCUAGUACUGGGACUACAGAAACAUCAAAUAUAUUCAGCUCCCGUCUCUCUUCAACCAUGUAAAAUUAUUUCAACAACUAUCAGCUAUUGAAGGUGAAACUGGCAUGUCUGUUUGUUCUUCUCUUCCUGGUGUCAAAGACUCUUAAAGCAUGCAUAUAAAAUAUGAAAGUAAAUAAAACGUAAUCAAAAAUACUAACAUUCAAACAUUUACAUAUCAUUGUUCCUACUAUCCCUUUUUUCUCUGGAUCUCUAAUAGAAAUAACAGUUGGUGUCCAUCAAGUGUUAAGUGAAUAAAUAAAAAAUUACCAAAUUUUUAUAUUUGGUAUAUCUUAUAUUUCUAUAUCUAUACAAAGAAACCUUAUUUGGUAAUAAAAAGAUAUGAAGUAUUGAUAUGCUGAGUCAAAGAUUCCAGUCCAUUAUUACAGUACUGCAUUACUAUAAAACAUCUUGAGUAUGCAAAUCUAUAAAGAAGGAAGUAGGUUAGUGGUUGCUUGUGGCAGGACAGGAGGGGGAUAUGGCAUAAUAGCCAAAUGGUACAGCAUUUAUUCUUGAAAUGAUGAAAAUUUUCUAAAAUUGACCAUUGUGAUGGAUGCCCAUACGUGUGAAUAUGCUAAACACCAUUAAAUUCUAAUUAAGUGAAUUGUAUGUUUUGUGAAUUAUAUCCCAAGAAUACUUUUUAAAAAUGAAGAUUAGAUUAUAUCAUACUUUACCAAAAACGUUUGUAAGAAGCAAUCACGUCUUCUCAGGAAGACGGAUUCCUUGAAAGUAUGAGAACAUGGAGGAGCUUAUUUUCUCUGAUGGACAAUUUCACAUAGUCCCUGUUUGUAUUUGGACAAAAAAUUGACAA
This 1014-nucleotide long non-coding RNA is filed under the name Homo sapiens (human). RNAcentral describes it as "HSALNT0312688". Lineage: Eukaryota; Metazoa; Chordata; Mammalia; Primates; Hominidae. The record is from RNAcentral.